UGUACUUGGGUUCAGGUCCUCACGCUGCC
RNAcentral lists this non-coding RNA (29 nucleotides) under Rattus norvegicus (Norway rat). Lineage: Eukaryota; Metazoa; Chordata; Mammalia; Rodentia; Muridae. The record is from RNAcentral.